This is a long non-coding RNA of Oncorhynchus tshawytscha (Chinook salmon), 336 nucleotides long. Lineage: Eukaryota; Metazoa; Chordata; Actinopteri; Salmoniformes; Salmonidae. The record is from Ensembl.
CCCACCUAUGUAACUAGGUCAUUACGGGCCCCACCUAUGUAACUAGGUCAUUACGGGCCCCGCCUAUGUAACUAGGUCAUUACGGGCCCCACCUAUGUAACUAGGUCAUUAUGGGCCCCACCUAUGUAACUAGGUCAUUACGGGCCCCACCUAUGUAACUAGGUCAUUAUGGGCCCCACCUAUGUAACUAGGUCAUUAUGGGCCCCACCUAUGUAACUAGGUCAUUACGGGCCCCGCCUAUGUAACUAGGUCAUUACAGGCCCCGCCUAUGUAACUAGGUCAUUACGGGCCCCACCUAUGUAAGUAAGUCAUUACGGGCCCCACCUAUGUAACUAG